AGUGAACGCUGGCGGUAGGCCUAACACAUGCAAGUCGAACGGCAGCACAGUAAGAGCUUGCUCUUACGAGUGGCGAGUGGCGGACGGGUGAGGAAUACAUCGGAAUCUACUUUUUCGUGGGGGAUAACGUAGGGAAACUUACGCUAAUACCGCAUACGACCUACGGGUGAAAGCAGGGGAUCUUCGUACCUUGCGCGAUUGAAUGAGCCGAUGUCGGAUUAGCUAGUUGGCGGGGUAAAGGCCCACCAAGGCGACGAUCCGUAGCUGGUCUGAGAGGAUGAUCAGCCACACUGGAACUGAGACACGGUCCAGACUCCUACGGGAGGCAGCAGUGGGGAAUAUUGGACAAUGGGCGCAAGCCUGAUCCAGCCAUACCGCGUGGGUGAAGAAGGCCUUCGGGUUGUAAAGCCCUUUUGUUGGGAAAGAAAAGCAGCAGGUUCAGACCCCGCUGUUCUGACGGUACCCAAAGAAUAAGCACCGGCUAACUUCGUG
Molecule: ribosomal RNA, 492 nt
Filed under: uncultured bacterium
Lineage: Bacteria
Description: partial 16S ribosomal RNA
Rfam family: Bacterial small subunit ribosomal RNA
Source: RNAcentral